This is a long non-coding RNA of Harpia harpyja (harpy eagle), 1741 nucleotides long. RefSeq lists it as uncharacterized. The record is from RefSeq and is a predicted model, not a curated record. Lineage: Eukaryota; Metazoa; Chordata; Aves; Accipitriformes; Accipitridae. The transcript has 3 exons.
GUGCUGUGCAGUAUGGGGAACCAGAUUUUCUGGAAAGCUGAUGAUCCCUGUGGUGUGGAGAGAAUCAUGACUUGGUGCAGGUAGAAUUGAGAGGUACAUGGUGUUAUGCUUCCAAGGGGACUGCAGCUGCUCAUGAGGGCCAUGUCACCUGGAAAAGUCUGCUCCUCAGGGGUGAUGGGACUGCUGUGUUGCUGUAAUGACUGAAGCAGUUGCCCUUCAUAUUCUUCUCCAGAACCUGUGUGGAUGAACAGUCAACUUAGCUGUGCAAUGGGGUCAUUCUGCUCUUUCUGAAUGAAUUGUCAAAGAGCUAAUGUCUCUCCCCUAAACAUAAGAGAAGCAACCUUGCUUACAUGAGUUAUGUUUAAAAUGUUAGCAGAUGUAGUUUUUAAUAUGUCAAACAUGGAUGUCCUGUUGCAAAUUGCAAGUCUCAUGGAAGUAACCCGUGUUUAUGCUGUAGGUAUUCUUUCCACAGGUCAGGCAUAAUUUGUGUUAAACAUUUAAUGGUUUAGGAUCACUUCUGUUUUUCUAGAUGGUGGUUACAGUUAACACAAACUCAACUUUGCUAUUAAGUUUUUCAAUAUAAAAAAAAAUAUAGAAAUGAGCUUGGCAGAAAAGAACCUGCGAAAUAAAGCAGAAGUAGAACGCAUGUAAGCAGAAACACAAAGAACAAGUGCUGCUGGACCCUGGCAUCCUUGUCUUCUAAGAUAUAUUUUUGUGAUGAAUUGAAAGGCUUUUUUCCUGCCUCUGGUGAAUGGCACAUAUGUACUACCUGAAGAAGAAAAUGUGGAGAGAGCAGCAGGCAGUAAGACAGUUUUUUAGAUCUACCCUUUGAUUCCAAUUCCUCCUGGUGGGUCUGUGCUACUUGAAGUACAAAGAAAGCUCAUCUUGGACUACCUGUUUGUUUGUUCACCUGUUGUUUAGCUUGAAAGAGACAGGCUAGAUGUGAAAUUCCAGCAAAGCUCCACUUGCUGUAGUGGCCAGAAUGAUAAGCAUCUGAAGCUGUUUAUUGCCCUUUUGUUUACAAUCUUAACCUCAGUUGCUUGUGACUCCAAAUAAUCAUACAUCAGGCUUGCAUUUUCUAGGUCCUUGCUUAAGGUUUUUUAAAUGUUUUCUGUAGUUCAAAUUUAAUUGGAGGGUCUGUUCCAGGAAAUAUUUUCCCAUUGUAUAGACUUGUUUAAAAGUUCCCUUGCCAGAAUAGUUGUGGUGAAAGAAGGAAAAUGAAGAUAAUAGCCACGACUAGGGUGCAAGUAUGCUUAUGCCAAGCAGAGCGGUUGCUUUUUGGUGUUUGUUCUCCAGAGGUCUGGUUCAGUACUGUCUGCUCAUUGUUGCUGCUGAUGGCUUGUCCUUCAGGGUUCAGCCUGGCUGGCAGCCCAAUGGGCUUGUGUUGGUUAGAUUUGGUUAAAGGUUGAGUAGAUAGUCUUUACUGAUGGACUGGGGCAGGGGGUUGUGGUGAUACAGAACCCUGGUGGUUAACUUAAGUGUCAGACCUCAAUGGUAUUUGAUGAAGAGGUGGAAAAUCCCACUCCUGCUGCGGAUAACUUGUCUGCAAUCACAUGCUGGCUGAGCAGGAUUCUUGUUGCACACUUUGUUAGCUCUGAUCCAUGAAUCCUUUCCAGUCAGCAAGGCCUUGUUCCCAAACCUUGUCCCUGCUGCCAUAACCUGGUAAGAUUUUACUCUUCCAAGCCCCAGAUGCUAUUUUUAUAGUCCCGUGUUCAACUCUUGCAACUGCCUACUGUGAACA